Molecule: ribosomal RNA, 390 nt
Filed under: Eucampia sp.
Lineage: Eukaryota; Bacillariophyta; Thalassiosirophyceae; Eucampiales; Eucampiaceae
Description: partial small subunit ribosomal RNA
Rfam family: Eukaryotic small subunit ribosomal RNA
Source: RNAcentral
AUUCCAGCUCCAAUAGCGUAUAUUAAAGUUGUUGCAGUUAAAAAGCUCGUAGUUGAAUUUCUGGUGGGAGUGUACAGUCCGACACUGAGUGUUGGUUCUUGUGUGUCUCCGGCCAUCCUUGGAGUGAAUCUGUCUGGCAUUUAGUUGUUGGGCAGAGUAUCUCCAUCGUUUACUGUGAGGAAAGGAAAGUGUUCAAAGCAGGCUUACGCCGUUGAAUCUUUUAGCAUGGAAUAAUAAGAUAGGAUCUUGAUACUAUUUUGUUGGUUGGAGGCCAAGGUAAUGAUUAAUAGGGAUAGUUGGGGGUAUUCAUAUUUAAUUGUCAGAGGUGAAAUUCUUGGAUUUAUGAAAGAUGAACUCAUGCGAAAGCAUUUACCAAGGAUGUUUUCAUUA